GGUCCCAUCGUCUAGGGGUUAGGACACCGGGCUCUCAAUCCGGUAACGGGGGUUCGAAUCCCCCUGGGACCACUA
This 75-nucleotide transfer RNA is filed under the name Deltaproteobacteria bacterium. RNAcentral describes it as "tRNA-Glu". It matches the Rfam family "tRNA". From Rfam's summary of the family: Transfer RNA (tRNA) molecules are approximately 80 nucleotides in length. Their secondary structure includes four short double-helical elements and three loops (D, anti-codon, and T loops). Further hydrogen bonds mediate the characteristic L-shaped molecular structure. tRNAs have two regions of fundamental functional importance: the anti-codon, which is responsible for specific mRNA codon recognition, and the 3' end, to which the tRNAs corresponding amino acid is attached (by aminoacyl-tRNA synthetases). tRNAs cope with the degeneracy of the genetic code in two manners: having more than one tRNA (with a specific anti-codon) for a particular amino acid; and 'wobble' base-pairing, i.e. permitting non-standard base-pairing at the 3rd anti-codon position. Lineage: Bacteria; Pseudomonadati; Myxococcota; Myxococcia. The record is from RNAcentral.